UAGGGAAUCUUCCACAAUGGACGCAAGUCUGAUGGAGCAACGCCGCGUGAGUGAAGAAGGUUUUCGGAUCGUAAAGCUCUGUUGUUGGUGAAGAAGGAUAGAGGCAGUAACUGGUCUUUAUUUGACGGUAAUCAACCAGAAAGUCACGGCUAACUACGUGCCAGCAGCCGCGGUAAUACGUAGGUGGCAAGCGUUGUCCGGAUUUAUUGGGCGUAAAGCGAGCGCAGGCGGAAUGAUAAGUCUGAUGUGAAAGCCCACGGCUCAACCGUGGAACUGCAUCGGAAACUGUCAUUCUUGAGUGCAGAAGAGGAGAGUGGAAUUCCAUGUGUAGCGGUUGAAUGCGUAGAUAUAUGGAAGAACACCAGUGGCGAAGGCGGCUCUCUGGUCUGCAACUGACGCUGAGGCUCGAAAGCAUGGGUAGCGAACAGG
Molecule: ribosomal RNA, 429 nt
Filed under: bacterium
Lineage: Bacteria
Description: partial 16S ribosomal RNA
Rfam family: Bacterial small subunit ribosomal RNA
Source: RNAcentral